RNAcentral lists this ribosomal RNA (253 nucleotides) under uncultured bacterium. Its description in RNAcentral is "partial 16S ribosomal RNA". It matches the Rfam family "Bacterial small subunit ribosomal RNA", at positions 524 to 776 of the family's 1533-position model. The record is from RNAcentral.
UACGGAGGGGGCUAGCGUUGUUCGGAAUUACUGGGCGUAAAGCGCACGUAGGCGGCUUUGUAAGUUAGAGGUGAAAGCCCGGGGCUCAGCUCCGGAAUUGCCUUUAAGACUGCAUCGCUAGAAUUGUGGAGAGGUAAGUGGAAUUCCGAGUGUAGAGGUGAAAUUCGUAGAUAUUCGGAAGAACACCAGUGGCGAAGGCGACUUACUGGACACAUAUUGACGCUGAGGUGCGAAAGCGUGGGGAGCGAACAGG